CAGUUGACCUCGGAUCAGGUAGGGAUACCCGCUGAACUUAAGCAUAUCAAUAAGCGGAGGAAAAGAAACCAACCGGGAUUGCCUCAGUAACGGCGAGUGAAGCGGCAACAGCUCAAAUUUGAAAUCUGGCUCCAUGCGGGGUCCGAGUUGUAAUUUGUAGAGGGUGUUUCGGGCGCGGUGCCGGUCUAAGUCCCUUGGAACAGGGCGUCAUAGAGGGUGAGAAUCCCGUCUGCGACUCGGCCGCCAACCCCGGGUGAAACCCCUUCGACGAGUCGAGUUGUUUGGGAAUGCAGCUCAAAAUGGGUGGUAAAUUUCAUCUAAAGCUAAAUACCGGCCAGAGACCGAUAGCGCACAAGUAGAGUGAUCGAAAGAUGAAAAGCACUUUGAAAAGAGAGUUAAACAGUACGUGAAAUUGUUGAAAGGGAAGCGCUGGCGACCAGACCUGUCCCCGGGCGAUCAUCGGUCAUUCGUGGCCGUGCACUCGCCCGGACGCAGGCCAGCAUCGGUUGCGGCGGCGGGACAAAGCGCCCGGGAAUGUAGCUCCCCCCGGGGAACCUUAUAGCCCGGGUGGCCAUGCCGCCCGCCGCGACCGAGGACCGCGCUUCGGCUAGGAUGCUGGCGUAAUGGUCGUCAGCGACCC
Molecule: ribosomal RNA, 640 nt
Filed under: Fuscopannaria mediterranea
Lineage: Eukaryota; Fungi; Ascomycota; Lecanoromycetes; Peltigerales; Pannariaceae
Description: partial large subunit ribosomal RNA
Rfam family: Eukaryotic large subunit ribosomal RNA
Source: RNAcentral